This 245-nucleotide long non-coding RNA is filed under the name Helianthus annuus (common sunflower). RNAcentral describes it as "hypothetical non coding rna". Lineage: Eukaryota; Viridiplantae; Streptophyta; Magnoliopsida; Asterales; Asteraceae. The record is from RNAcentral.
GGAAUCCUCUGUUUGGGGGAUGAAGCCUUUGUGAUCCUGCCGCCUUUAAUUUCCUGCACCUGCUAAGACCGCAUAGACAAUGGACACCCUUUGCCAACCCAUGUGGACGGGCCACGUUUUGCUGAAAUGUGGGUUGGCAAUUUUGACAAUCUUUUGAAAGGGUUAAUGAUCCUUUUGUUUAAUAAUAUAACUUAACUUUUCUGGCUUAUCUUGUGUUGUUAUCCUUCAAUAAUCCUCUUAUUUCU